This 72-nucleotide transfer RNA is filed under the name Ornithorhynchus anatinus (platypus). It matches the Rfam family "tRNA". From Rfam's summary of the family: Transfer RNA (tRNA) molecules are approximately 80 nucleotides in length. Their secondary structure includes four short double-helical elements and three loops (D, anti-codon, and T loops). The record is from Rfam by way of RNAcentral. Lineage: Eukaryota; Metazoa; Chordata; Mammalia; Monotremata; Ornithorhynchidae.
AGCAGCGUGGCUCAGUGGAAAGAGCACGGGCUUGGGAGUCAGAGGUCUUGGGUUCUAAUCCUGGCACCGCUG